This 73-nucleotide transfer RNA is filed under the name Mus musculus (house mouse). It matches the Rfam family "tRNA". From Rfam's summary of the family: Transfer RNA (tRNA) molecules are approximately 80 nucleotides in length. Their secondary structure includes four short double-helical elements and three loops (D, anti-codon, and T loops). Lineage: Eukaryota; Metazoa; Chordata; Mammalia; Rodentia; Muridae. The record is from Rfam by way of RNAcentral.
GGGGAUCUAGCCCAGUGGUAGAGCGCACACUCUUCCCAUGUGUGAGGUCCUGGGUUCAAUCCCAGCAUCUCCA